This 1992-nucleotide long non-coding RNA is filed under the name Zea mays. Its description in RNAcentral is "long non-coding RNA (ZMAY_LNC005304)". The record is from RNAcentral. Lineage: Eukaryota; Viridiplantae; Streptophyta; Magnoliopsida; Poales; Poaceae.
AGAAAGAAAGUAUUGCAAAAUCCGGCAACACCUCCCUUGAAAGUAGCAUAACAAGGGAAACAUAGAGUUUAUACAGGAUAUAAAAGAAAGAUAAUUGACAUAGUAUAACGAAAUGCAAUGGUAGAAAUGAACAUUCAUGACCAGACAAAAGAUAGACAACUCAGCCCACCAAACUAAAUAGUUCAACUACCAUGAAAGAAUAGAACGUAAUAAUCCCCUAGACUUGACCCUCCCUGUUAAACAUCAUUAUUAAGCAGUGGUUCCUUUAUUUAAAAGUGUGGUGGCCGUGCGGCUACAUCCCUUCUUUCCCAAAGCAAAGAUCAGGAGCCUGCAUCAGACAAUGCAAGAGUGAGAUGACACAUCUCAGCAAGUAAAAAACAAACAAACAACAGUUGGACAAUGUAAGCCAACCGCGCAUAAGCAACCACGUGGUUCCCAACUUCUUUCUUAAAUAUUAAUUUGCAGCAAGUAAGCAAGUAAUCAAUUACUCAAUGCCAAGAUGAAUCACAAAGUAAAGAUCCACAUUAUCCACAUCACCAUAAUAGGUUCCACACUUCCCCCAUGAAUGCACAUGGCUAUAGAUGCAGUAUGACUUCUGCCUUCAUACCUCUAAGGAUAUGAAGCUGCAUCAUACCUCUUCUCGGGCAACAUAUGAUGCUCAUUGUACCGGUACGGUCGGACCAUAAGAUCGCGGCUAAACUUCAAUGCAAUGGAUGAUGAAUGCAUUAUGCAUGUCAACAACAUGAGUUCUUCCCAAAUAAAAUAUGCUAGACAUAUACUUCCACCCAUUUCACAUAAUAAACCACAUGGGUAACAUGAUCAAACCACACCCUCCACAUGUAUAAUCAAUAAAACAUGAAUAAUUUCAAACGACGGUACCCAAUUAGGAAUAUGAAUACGAACACAAAUAGCACAAACAUAAUCAAGUAUAAGACUCUUCAAUCAACAGACGGAAUAACCAUCACUGUUUUACUUGCCUUCACUGGAAGUUUGAGCAAAUCCCUAAGUACGAUCCGGAAGUCCACCAUCUGUUUUUGACACACAACUUAGUGCACCAAUUUCACACAAUCAGGCUCAUAAACGACGCCGCACCUACGCACAAUUUCAAACCCCGUUGCGGGUAACAUCUCUCCCCACACCCACCAAACUGCAGCGGCGCUGCUUAAUAAUUUCAUAACUUUAAAAUUAUGACAGAAGUGGUAACAAACAAAAACUCCAAAGGCAUCUACAUAAAAUUCCUCACAAGUUUUGUAUACAAUUUAUAAUUAAAUUCUAACAUCUAAUUAGCCCAACACAGUCCACAAGAUAAACCCUGUAAUCUGUUUUUUUCUCUUUUGGACAGCGACAUACCCGGAUUCAAACAGCGAUAUCUUUUAAAAUAUAAUUCCAAAUCAAGCGCAUAAGUACUCAUUGGAAAGAUAAGACAAAGCCCUACAUGAUUAUUAUACUGGUUAUCACUAAUUACCCACGAAAAAUUCCCAGAAACUGCUAAUACUACUGCUGUUCUCCCACCUGAAAAAUCUGUUUUUUUGACAGCUACAUACCUGGAUUCAAACAACUAUAUCUCCUAAAUUAUAACUCCGAAUCGAGCGCAUAAGUACUCGUUGGAAAGGUAUGACAAAGCUCUACAUGAUUAUCCCACUGAUUCCCACUAAUUAACCCACAAAAAUUCCCCGAAAUCCCUAGAACUACUGCUGUCCACCCACUCACAAAAUUCUUGGACAGCACCUCUACCGAUUCACAAAGAUAAACACAUAAUCCAAUUGAUUGCAGCACAAAAACAACAAAAGUUAAACACAAAUUCACCUUGGGUUCUUCCCUUCCUCCUUCCUUCUUCCUCCCUCCAAACUCCAAUUGAGAUCGCAGCCACACGACGGAGAACCACGCGGGAGGGCUGCACCUUGGAGGGGGGGAAGAGAAAUGGGGGGGGGAUAGGGUUUUGGGUGGUGAGGGCUGCAAAGGUUUGAGGAGGAAGAAGAUGGGAGAGGGGGG